UACUGUGAAUAAAUCAUUUAUAGUUUAUACACUCGUAAACUAUAGAACGAAACAUAUAUUUAUGUAACGAUCCUCUUCGAAAUCAUGAAUAUCAUGGAUCGGAAUCCUUUAUUGUAAUAUCUGAUAACGGUUAUGGUUAUAUUGCUAAUUAUUACAAAUAACCUACAUUUUGCUAAAACCAAACGUUGAUGUGUACGAUUUGAAUUUUGCAACACUUCAAAUAGUCUGCGGUGAUAAUACAUGUACAGUUUGGGACACUGGAAACUAAGAUCAAAAAUCUAUCGAUAAUAGUAAAAAAUAGUUCUAAGAAUCAUAGCUGGACCAUGCGUAACAAGUAUCACCAUUUCAUUGAAAUUUGGAUUAAAGACGAAAUAUAAUACAUGUUACUUAAGGCUACACUUAACUGGAGGAGUCUCCACUAUGAAUUGGGACAAAAACGAAAAAUAGCUUAUUGAAAUCUCACCUUCAUCAACAUUUCCAACUGCUUCCUUUAUG
Long non-coding RNA from Aphis gossypii (cotton aphid), 495 nucleotides. RefSeq lists it as uncharacterized. NCBI's taxonomy places the organism in Eukaryota, Metazoa, Arthropoda, Insecta, Hemiptera, Aphididae. The record is from RefSeq and is a predicted model, not a curated record. The transcript has 3 exons.